RNAcentral lists this long non-coding RNA (153 nucleotides) under Felis catus (domestic cat). RNAcentral describes it as "lncRNA (ENSFCAG00000051497.1)". Lineage: Eukaryota; Metazoa; Chordata; Mammalia; Carnivora; Felidae. The record is from RNAcentral.
AUACAUGGUCUUGUAGAGUCCGACGCAUUGAAUUGAAAGGAUAUUCAUGAUCUUUUAUAAGAAAGAGUCAGGUUCCAAACAGCAAAAUAAGAUUGUGUGGUAAAACCAGCCAACAGGGCUGUCCCACAUGGUCUCUGAACCUUUGAGCAAACG